UCCACUACAUAAUCAUUCAUUAUCUUUACAAUUAACCAUCUAAAGCUACCACAGUUCUUCAAUCAAAGUAUAUAUCUACAUAUAGAGAGAGUACACUUCAUAAUUUUGUCCCUUGUCUUCCGUAAACGUAGCACAAAAAUUUGAUACCCAGUAUUGUAAGGCAUGUCAUAGAAGCAGUUUUCCUGCACAUAUUUAAAAAUAAUAGCAAGUCAGAAAAAUGAAGCAAAUAGGUCACCAGAGGCACUUAGUGCCAAAAUCAAUACACAAAGACAAUGGAGUUGCUUCGUGGUACUAAUGCACACCGUAUUGCUCAUAAGCAGAAAAAGACAAAUAGGCAAUCACAAUAUCAUUUGCUACAAAUUCAAAUAGAAAAAGAACCUUCAGUGCGACUAUAUGAUUGCUCUGUUACAAGAAAAAAUUGAAAUCUUAAUCAGCCAUUUCAUGAAUUAAUUUCAGUAAGCAUAGUGAUAAACAUAUUUUCUAUUACAAGACUUGUAGAUUAUUAUUAUAUGUUGACCUCAAGUCAGAAUUCAGUCACAUUCAACAACCACAAGCAUCACACAAUCUUAAAUACCAUCACACAAUCUUAAAUAACAAUGUUUAGAUUUCUAUAUAGAAAGGACAACAAUUAUUGAAAAGUUAAGGCUAUUAAUCAAUGUGGAAAAACUUUUCUUGAGAUGACAAAUUUACAUACAGUAUAUGCCCCAAAGAUGCUAGCUAUAAUCACAGACAUCAUAGAUUUAUUUACCAAGAAUUCAACAUGUUGCAGCAGACAUUGCAAAGACACAUUUAUUGAUAACUUGAGAAUUUUUAAGUGGUAAGGGUAGAACAUACCCAGGUCAGCGAGAUAAGUUCCUCCCUUUCAUAAUUGGGUCCCACAAGAAGUCCCUGAUGAAGAAUAGUCCCUGAGGGUUGGUAUGGUCACAUCUUAAAUGUCGACCAUCUCUCAUUUUGAUCAUGAAACCAUCAGAACUGCUCUUCACCUCAACUAUAUUGAAAAAAAGAUGAAACACAUAAAUAGAUUAUAUGCUAUUUUGCAUAUACUUCAUAUGUUAAAUCACAGAAAAAUUAAAAACCACCAAAAUUAUAGUAUAUUGCUUGCAACAUCCAGCUGUGAUAUUUUAAGCAAAAUAUUAGCAAAUAUAUGAGGAACUUUAACUAUUGUAAAAUGGAAAUGAAACUGACUUCACAAAGAUGAGACAUCUAUUUCGAUGCCAAAAAUUAGUCUGAAAAUUUGUUUCUAUUAACCAAUCUUAUAGUAUUUUAACAACUAGCUUGCAUAAAGAGGAAAUCAAAAGAAUAAAUUUUCAUGUUUUGUUUCCAGCUUUUUCCCAAAAAAGUAAAUCAACAAUAAAACUAUGCUCUCAAACUGCUGCAAAUAUUUUAAUUAACCUCAUCAUCAUUCGUGCUCUCUGCAAUUCUCUGAACUACAGGGAGAGAAUUCUUGCACUUCUUCAACAUGCUCACUAUCAAAUCUUCUUGCAAUUAUGAUAACAUAGUAGAUGUUUAACCAUAGCAGAUUUCCAACUGAAAUUAUGAAAUUAUUUUAACCUGCUUUUCAUAGCCCUUCACUGCAUGACAUCCCUUCAGAAGCACUUGGAUUAUUUCUAACUGAAAGAAAAUUCAAAUGAAGUUAGGUCUAAUGAGAGGCAUCAUUCAUAAAACCACAUAAACAUUAAAAUUGCAAAGCAUAACAAUGAUCAAUUUUGUAAAUGAUCUCCAUUAUUGUCAGUCAAAGUUUGAAAUUUUGUUGCUAUGAUGAAUUUUAACACGUUUCCAAAUCAAAUACAGUUCUUAAGACAUCUUUUAUAUAUUAACACAUCUUUUCCACCUAUUUCUCAGCGGUUUGACAACAUGUUUGCUAGGGGGAUGCUCUGAUAUAGUGAUAUGAAAUAUAAGUUGUGAUAUCUUGUUCAUUCAAAUAGAGUUAGGUAUUUUCUGCUCAAAUCAACUCCUGAAACCUGAUAACCUUUACCUUUUAUUUGCAAGAGAUGGAAGAUAGCUCGAUUCAAGUUUACUUAUCUAUGAACCUUUCUAACAAAUGAUAGAGAAACAAUUCAUGGAAAAGAAAAAUAAUAACUACUAGCCAAACUCAAACCAUGUUUGCAAUCAUGUGCAUUAUAUAUGUUUGUGUUAAAACAGUUUUAUUUAAUUUCCAUUUUUUUUACAAGUAAUAGAAAAGUUUUCAAUUUGUACACAUAAUUAUAAAGAAAGAAAAAAAAAGUAUUCAGUACCCAAGCAUUGACGGAAAAUUUUAUGGUUUGCCAAUUCAAGUGCAAAGAAGUUAGAGUGGAGGCUGGAGCUGUAGAGUGGAGGCUGGAGCUGUAGAUGUAUUUUAUGAUAACCUGAGCUAUGCUGCCGUGUUUGAUCAUUUGGAGUUGAUGAUGAUGGUUGUGCUUGAUGGUCUCGUUGGCUGAGAAGAACUACUUGUAGACAUUGCCUUAACAAACAAAUCAGGAUCAUGCAUAUCAUAAAAUAAAAAACCACCAAGAUGCUUUUGUUAUUCUUCUUAGUUGUUAGAUUCAUCUUAAUGCGUAUUUAGAUGUUUUAUAUCGAACACAUCAUUUCAUUUUAUAUUCAGAGCUUUUAUUGCAUUUAACUCAUUUAGAUUCUCUUAUACAUUCAUAACUCUAUUGCAUUAACAAAUCGAUUAAUAUCCAAAAUGGGAUUGGAAGAGCUUACAGCUAAACAUCUGCUCUAAAUUAUAACCACAACUGGCAUAACCUGACUCAUAUUGCAUAAAUCAUAAAACUCAUAUUGCACGAAUUAUAUAUAACAUGAGCUGAUAGCUGAGGAACCAUGUAGAAAUUAUUAUUUUGGUGGCGCCACAUGUUAAAAGCAUGCUUUGCACGGGCAUAUAACGGACAAACAUGUAAUCUAUGAUUAUGGCAAUAUACUGAAUCUAAGAAUAUGAAGGGCAGUAACACAUAAAAUAAUGAAAAUAUUAUGUAAAUAAUUCAAAACAAUCAACCACUCAAACAGAGGCCAUAUGCAUGACACUUCAGACUCGAGCAUAUUAUGCAUGCCUUUCAACUAGAACUACAAGAUCAAUAAACUAACCCAGACUAAUUUUGCAUAGAAACAAGAAAAUCUUUAACCGAAGGGUCAUUCGGAUCAACUCCAGGGAGCUGUCAAACCAACAAAGCACCAUAAAAAUCUUAAGGAGAUAAUUCUAUUAUUACAAGUCGUCACUUCUUUAGUUGAUCGAACCCACGCACACAAGUUGACAAGAAUAAGGAGAAAAUAAUGGUUGAGUGUUCCAUAAUACUAAUAGGUGAAAAUGGCAUCUUAGAAACAUACCGAAGCAAAGGAUAGAUGACACAAAUGAUUGGUCUGCCAACAAAUUACUCAUAUCUGUCUGGCUUGAUUGAUCUCUCGCACCUUCCUGCAUAGAUAAUUGGAGAGCUGCAACUAGUAAAGACAUGAAAUCAAACAGCUGAAGAGGGAAGAGGGAAGAGGGGGAAUAGAUGAUAUUUGCCUAGGUGUAGUCGUGUAGAAGACUCUAAAAGUAGGGUUGUCAGAUAUUCUCAUUAACCUAGUAUUGACUUAGUGAACCGUAUAUUAGUACUUGCAUACCCAAACAUGAUACUCACACGUACCAAUACUCUAAAUUUAGUUUACUGAAAUAUUUCUUUAAUGUUUUAUCUAUAAUUGCACAAAAUAUCAAUAUUAUAAUAAUGUCUCAUAUUGUUUAGCGAGGAGUAUCGACAAAUCUUGCUGAGAGUAUUGGAUUUAUAACUUGAAUGACAUUUAUACUAAAUUAUCUAUAAAACAAGACUCAACUAAAAAAAAUUCUGUACACAUUGGUUUACUACAUUCAAAUUCUAAAAGAAUUCCCAACCAUAAAAACUUAUAUAAAGUACCCUAUCGUAUCGCGUUUCAGCUAGACUGCAUAGCUGUUCGUACCACGUACCGAACGAAUCACAUUUCAGGUAACACUGCAGUCUAAAGUAAUUCAAGGAUCCUAUGUUCCAUAUAUAUGCUUUAGAUUCAGCAUAGCUAAGUAAUUGUAUGCGACAUGCUAGUAAUUUCAGGCCUCACUUGGUAUGAAGGAAAAAAAAUUCUCAAAAAUGGUUAUCUCAUUACUUUAAUAAAUCUCCGAUAGUGAAAAUCUAGAAAUAUAUUUUGUAAAGCUUUUGUGGUAUGUUAAGAAUAUUGUUCAAAGAUCUUAAUUUUAGUCAAGUAGAUAAGCCUUAUAUAUUCUUUUAUUAAUUCUUUGAGGGUGGAGAAAAAGAUUACUGCACCAUGAGUAAUGAAUGAAAUACCAACUCUAUGUGAUAAAUCAUAAAUGAAAUAUGAACAAUUAUGUGCACCAAAGGCCAUAAAUUAUCAGUAGAAACGACAUUUCAUUUUCCACUCUCGAUUCCUAAAGAAAUAAGGCCUCAGUGUUUUGGGCAAUUUCCUGCACCCAAGAAAUAAAUUUUGGUAUAACAUGUAUGACAAUUUCCUUCAGCCGUAUUCAUAUUAUCUGACUAUUAUAUUUCAGGUACUGAAACCACAAAGACGUUCUCCAGAAGUUGGGUGAAGCAAUGGGUCUUGCGGUUCCAGGAGAUGCUGACACUUCUGCUGAAACCUCUGGGUUAGAUGAAACUGAUGAAGUGGAAAAUGAGGAUGAAUCCAUUGUUCAUCACACUGCUAGUGUCAGUGAUGUGGAGGUAAAUCAUUUCUGUGUUUACUCUUGUCCUUGGUGCUUGGUGCUAUUAGUUCAUUACAACUUACAAAUGUAUUGACAUUUUUUAUAAUAAUUUUAAUCAAAGUCAAAAUGUGGAAGAAUUUUGUUCGUCGAAGUAGUAUGAACUAUCACUCCUCUCGCAUUCUUUUUCCUUUCUAAUAAAAUUCCCUCUUUUUAUGGAAGUAAAAAGUAGGUGGAUUAAUUAAUUGCUCGUCUUUUGUUACUUGGUAAUUAUUACUAGCUUUUACCAUUUUUUUAGUUCUCGAGAUUAUGAGUUAAAGUACGUUAUUGGUUAUGAGUUUGGUUGUUUUUACAUACAUAUAUACUUGUUUAUCACAAUUGUUUUGUAUUUACUAUUUAUGUAGUUGAAGUGACAGAGAUUUAUCAUGAAGUACUAAACCAACAAGUUCGUUCAUCUUUUUAACUUGUUUGUACUAAACCAAAAGGGUCCUAAGAUUUCCUGUUUGUUCUUUCGUCAACAUGUAUGGAUCAACAUGUGAUUGAUUUUUAGUACGUAGCACGCCCUCUCCAUCACUGUUUGAUCGAUAUAGGAAAUUAAAAGGAUCCCCACUGGAUAGGAGAGGGAAGAAUUCUGACAAUAAUCAAGUACAUAAUUAAAAUUUUGAAACCCCAUUUAAUUCUGUAAUCAGCACAAAGAUGAACUCAUAAUACACAUCAAAUGAGCUCAGCAUUAAACCAGAGCAAGAACAGCUUAAACAAAAAUUCUCUAAAUCCCCAAUUUAUACAUAACAUCAUAAAUUUCUUAAAUUGAAACCUAAAUAUGUGUGUAAGUUUACUUUAGAUUUAAUUUGUGUGUGAAAGCAAAAUUACAAGCUAUUGUGCGUGUUAGUGUGUGUAAAAUUGGGAAAAAGGUCAAAUUGAAUACUAACCGUUACCUACAGGUAAUAGAAGAUAACAAUGGAAGAGAAUGAGGCAAAGCAAGCCGCCGUUGUCGUCGAAAAUUGCAGAAAUUGGAAUUGGCACUUCUUUUUUUGCUAAACUAGGGUAAUAAUGAGUGGGAGGAGAGAAAGGGGAAAUAGAGUAGUGAGGCGGAGGAGAGUGGCUGAGGAGGGUGAGAGAGGAGGAGGAUGAGGAGGCAGCAGGAGAAUGAGAGAGGAGGAGGCGGUAGAUCGAGUAUCAUUUCUCAAGUUGAUCGCUCAUAGUCCAUUUGAAUAAUUU
RNAcentral lists this long non-coding RNA (5851 nucleotides) under Panax ginseng (ginseng). RNAcentral describes it as "long non-coding RNA (PGIN_LNC007484)". Lineage: Eukaryota; Viridiplantae; Streptophyta; Magnoliopsida; Apiales; Araliaceae. The record is from RNAcentral.